This is a non-coding RNA of Myodes glareolus (Bank vole), 1115 nucleotides long. NCBI's taxonomy places the organism in Eukaryota, Metazoa, Chordata, Mammalia, Rodentia, Cricetidae. The record is from RefSeq and is a predicted model, not a curated record.
AGUAACGGGCAAACUGGAUGUGGUCUCUGGCGCUUUGGUUUAUUUCAGAUGCACUCUUCAUGGCCUGUUGGGUGACAAGGACAGUCUGAAGCGGUGACUCAAGUCUUCCUCAUGGGAACGGGACCGAUUUGGAGACGGAGAAGAACACUGAUGUUUGCAGGUGCUAUGUGAUGAGUGAAUUGCAGAAACUGCCCAGUGCUGUAUAAUUGAAGCAGUCAAGGAGAUGGCAGAAAAAAUGGUGUGCACCCAUCCUCCUGGGAAAUCCCACCCCGUGAAGAUGAGCUGAGAAAACCAAGGGGCUCAAAGCUGAAGAGUGUUUCAUUUUGGUCUGGUGAUCAUCAAGUGCACUUCUAGAUACAGUACACAAUCAACAUUUCCACGGAGGAUCCAUGCUGUCCAGAGCAAAUCAGCGACAGGGAAUUUCAUUGCUGGUUUUUAUCAGGCACAUCUCCGGGUUGGUCUCUUCUCAUGUCAACUCCUAACUGGCACCAGACCCUAGGAAAGAUACAAGCGUGGCCCUCCAGAGCCUGGACUAGAGGGAGAAACUAUUGCAGAAACUGUGGGGAUGUGGGUAGAACAAAGGUAUCUUUAAACUUUUUGCUCUGUUUCUACUGCUAACUACAUUUGUAAUUUACAUAAGCUUCCACUUGACAUAUUAUCUUCUUGUCCAGGAAUUAUUAUAUAAUUAUAAAUUAUAAUUCAUGUCCAGGAAUUAAAUACAAAGAAGAGACCGAUACAUGAAUAUUUACUGGUUGAUUCAAAUCCUUACUGAUAACAAGUACUUUAUUUUUUUCCUUCUUCUAUGCCCAGAGGACUUAAUAUUGAACAUUUAUUGUUAUACUUGUUUGUCAUGGCGUUCAAAACCAGACCUAAUUUCUUUCAGCACCCUAGUGUUAAUAUUAGUUAUAUUUACACUUUUAAAAGAGAAUUUCACCUGAAUACUGUACUCACAUUAUUUCUGUCCCUCUUUCUCCCCAGAUCCUCCCAUGCUCUCCCUCAAAUAAAUGGCCUCUUCUUCUGUAGUUGUACACUCACGCACAUACACACAAAUCACCAUUUGACAUGGCUAAUAUGUACAUAUGUUUAGGGAUGGCUAUGUUGGAUUGGAUAACCUA